GCGGACGUGGUGGAAUCGGUAGACACACGAGACUUAAAAUCUCGAGGCCCUAGGCCGUGCGGGUUCGAGUCCCGCCGUCCGCA
This 83-nucleotide transfer RNA is filed under the name Parvularcula bermudensis HTCC2503. It matches the Rfam family "tRNA". From Rfam's summary of the family: Transfer RNA (tRNA) molecules are approximately 80 nucleotides in length. Their secondary structure includes four short double-helical elements and three loops (D, anti-codon, and T loops). Further hydrogen bonds mediate the characteristic L-shaped molecular structure. tRNAs have two regions of fundamental functional importance: the anti-codon, which is responsible for specific mRNA codon recognition, and the 3' end, to which the tRNAs corresponding amino acid is attached (by aminoacyl-tRNA synthetases). tRNAs cope with the degeneracy of the genetic code in two manners: having more than one tRNA (with a specific anti-codon) for a particular amino acid; and 'wobble' base-pairing, i.e. permitting non-standard base-pairing at the 3rd anti-codon position. The record is from Rfam by way of RNAcentral. Lineage: Bacteria; Pseudomonadati; Pseudomonadota; Alphaproteobacteria; Parvularculales; Parvularculaceae.